RNAcentral lists this ribosomal RNA (491 nucleotides) under Ramisyllis multicaudata. Its description in RNAcentral is "partial large subunit ribosomal RNA". It matches the Rfam family "Bacterial large subunit ribosomal RNA", at positions 1813 to 2605 of the family's 2925-position model. The record is from RNAcentral. Lineage: Eukaryota; Metazoa; Annelida; Polychaeta; Phyllodocida; Syllidae.
ACAUUGUUUCUUGAUCCAUACUAUAAGAAAUAAGUACUGCCCAGUGAUAUUAUUUCAACGGCCGCGGUAUACUGACCGUGCGAAGGUAGCAUAAUAAUUUGUCUCCUAAUUAGGGAAUAGAAUGAAUGGACAAACUCGAAACAUACUGUCUCUAUAACACACUAAUAACUUUAUCUUCAGGUGAAAAAGCCUGAAUAUGAUAAAAAGACAAGAAGACCCUAAAAGCUUUAUAUCUUACAGCUAACUCCAAGCACCAUGAUCUUUUGUUGGGACGACAACAAGAAUAAAAAACACUUGUAAAAAUAAAGACCAAGUCUCCAUUAUUAACCAAAAAAAGAAAAUAUGUAAGCUACUCUAGGGGUAACAGGCUAAUGUUCUUAAAGAGUACACAUUGACAAGAACGUUUGGCACCUCGAUGUUGGCUUAGGGACUCUCUUUCAUGCAAAAGUAAAAAAAGAAGGUUUGUUCAACCUAUAAUCCCCUACAUGAUC